RNAcentral lists this long non-coding RNA (1032 nucleotides) under Numida meleagris (helmeted guineafowl). Its description in RNAcentral is "lncRNA (ENSNMEG00000019984.1)". Lineage: Eukaryota; Metazoa; Chordata; Aves; Galliformes; Numididae. The record is from RNAcentral.
GGUCAUUUCGAGCCUGAGAACCAACAUCUGCUUUCUGUCAGGGCAGCUCAGCGAUGCCACAAAGUAGAUGCACAGCUCGGACGCAGACAUCUCUCUACGGGUUACUCUUGGGAUGCACAUGGCCCACUUAACGUCUUUAUUCUAAAAGACACUCAGCGAGAGGAAAGGCGUGGAAGCCACCAGCCGCCACUAAAAUCCCCAAAGCAAACACCGCCUUGUUUACCUAAUCAACUCUGCGGCACCGAAAGCCGCUUUUAUUUCGGGAACUUACUCCGCACCCCUUCCUUUUGUCUCGCAGAAAGCCACAGCUCGCAGCAACGCCUUGCAGCACACUACAGCCGAGUGCAGCACCCGACAGCACCGUACCGGCCAGCAGCUCCGCUCCCGCUCCCCGUAUUCGCGCCGCCCGCCCCAGCCCGGCCCUCGCACGCUCCCCCCCGGCGCCCCCAGCCGCAGGGCGGCGGCACCAGCCAGCACGGAGCAACAGGAGCUGAGCACCCACCGCUCCCCGCAGCGCCCGGUGGCUCGCGGGGAGGCCCCCAGGCCUCUCCCCACAGCCGCGGCGGAGCCGGCGAGCAACGCCGAGCCCAGGAGGGCAGAGCGGCGGGGCCAGGCCGCAGCACUCCCCCUCCAUCGGCACGGACGGGCGCUGAUCUCUCCUGGGCCGCGGCCCGCGCCCCCCUCCCCGUUCUCUGCCCCCAGCUUACCUGCGGCUGGGCUGCCCGCCGGAGGAGCGAGUGGGGCGGGCGGGGCCGGGCGGGGCGCCGAAGGGGAGCCCUGGCACCGCCCCCGCGCUCGGCCGGCGGCGGGGCGAGGGGCGGAGCCGGGCAGGCUGCGGCGCAGAGGCCGGCGCGGGGAGACCUGGCAAGGAUCGGCGGGCGGAACCCGCUUCCGGGAAGGGGCGGGUCGGUGGAGGCGUGGGGGAGAGCGGCUUCCGGCAGGGAGUGCGCGCAGGGGGUGUGGCCUCGGCUGCGGGUGGGGCGGCUCUUGGGGUGUGGUCCUAUCAUGGCGGCGACCAGCGGUCAGCUGUAG